GUCGUGCAGUUUUGUGAUUGAACAAAAAUGCGCAUCUUCGGUGGCGUUGACGCCAGGCUCCGUGCUCGAAGUCACGCUUGGAGGGCGGAAUAUUCAUGGAGCUGCGGACACGGACAACGUGCGCCCGUUAACGAAUCCCGAAUCACUUCUCCCGCCUCUUCACUCCAGUUGACAGCCACACUCGGGGAAACGAAGGUGUCGCUUGGUCUGGCGCCUCACCGCUCGUGAUGGAAAAAUCAACAGCGGCGUUCGCCCUGUCAACCGAACGAGGCCGUCGAUCCUACAUUUCCUUUGGUUGGACAAGACGACGUAGGAAAAGAGAUACCGUUUUUAUGGUGCUCACGCUGAACAGGAGCGACAGCCUAGCAAGUCACAAGUCUGAUGCCUCCAGCCGUCACCACUUUGAUUUAUUCUUGAUCAUAAGGAAUAAAGAUUUAAACAUUA
This is a long non-coding RNA of Rhipicephalus sanguineus (brown dog tick), 444 nucleotides long. RefSeq lists it as uncharacterized. The record is from RefSeq and is a predicted model, not a curated record. The transcript has 3 exons. Lineage: Eukaryota; Metazoa; Arthropoda; Arachnida; Ixodida; Ixodidae.